AUUGAACGCUGGCGGCAGGCCUAACACAUGCAAGUCGAGCGGAUGAAGGGAGCUUGCUCCUGGAUUCAGCGGCGGACGGGUGAGUAAUGCCUAGGAAUCUGCCUGGUAGUGGGGGAUAACGUCCGGAAACGGGCGCUAAUACCGCAUACGUCCUGAGGGAGAAAGUGGGGGAUCUUCGGACCUCACGCUAUCAGAUGAGCCUAGGUCGGAGUAGCUAGUUGGUGGGGUAAAGGCCUACCAAGGCGACGAUCCGUAGCUGGUCUGAGAGGAUGAUCAGUCACCUUGGAAGUGAGACACGGUCCAGACUCCUAAGGGAGGCAGCAGUGGGGAAUAUUGGACAGUGGGCGAAAGCCUGAUCCAGCCAUGCCGCGUGUGUGAAGAAGGUCUUCGGAGUGUAAAGCACUUUAAGUUGGGAGGAAGGGCAGUAAGUUAAUACCUUGCGGUUUUGACGGUACCAACAGAAUAAGCACCGGCUAACUUCGUG
This 484-nucleotide ribosomal RNA is filed under the name uncultured bacterium. RNAcentral describes it as "partial 16S ribosomal RNA". It matches the Rfam family "Bacterial small subunit ribosomal RNA", at positions 30 to 507 of the family's 1533-position model. The record is from RNAcentral.